UACGAAGGGGGCUAGCGUUGCUCGGAAUCACUGGGCGUAAAGCGCACGUAGGCGGAUUGUUAAGUCAGGGGUGAAAUCCUGGAGCUCAACUCCAGAACUGCCUUUGAUACUGAGAAGCUUGAGUCCGGGAGAGGUGAGUGGAACUGCGAGUGUAGAGGUGAAAUUCGUAGAUAUUCGCAAGAACACCAGUGGCGGAGGCGGCUCACUGGCCCGGUACUGACGCUCAGGGGCGAAAGCGUGGGGAGCAAACCGG
RNAcentral lists this ribosomal RNA (253 nucleotides) under uncultured bacterium. RNAcentral's name for it is "partial 16S ribosomal RNA". It matches the Rfam family "Bacterial small subunit ribosomal RNA", at positions 524 to 776 of the family's 1533-position model. The record is from RNAcentral.